This 2862-nucleotide long non-coding RNA is filed under the name Setaria viridis. RNAcentral describes it as "long non-coding RNA (SVIR_LNC006306)". Lineage: Eukaryota; Viridiplantae; Streptophyta; Magnoliopsida; Poales; Poaceae. The record is from RNAcentral.
UCCACACCGAGGAUCCGGGUUCUCCUCCUCCUGAGUCGAUCCUCCUCGACCGAUACGGCUACCUCAGCUGUCGCCUCAACGGCACUACCGCCGAUGGCUUCACGGCGGACGGCAAGAGAAUCCAGGUCACCUUCUGGGCGGCCAGCCCGCCGCGGGUCUCCUGCUUCACUGUCCAUUCCCCCGACGUGAAGCCCUCCGCGUUCGACAGGUUGCCCAAGGUCAUCUACUCGAAGGACGACCUCGUCCUGCUCCGCAUCCCCAUCCUCCGUCAGGACGACAGCCGCGACGCUAAGAGCUGCCACUACUUCGUCUACCAGGCCGGCACCGAGAACAACCGGCCGUCACUUAAGAUGUUACCCAUCCCGUGCGACAUCAAGUUCUCCAACAACGAGGUUGUGCUUUUGCGUUGCCGCGACCAAGAUAUGUUCUACUUCGCCCUGCUUCAUAGGAUCAUCGAUCCUAAGAACAACGGCAAGCGAUUUGAUCUCCACCUGUACAACUCCAAGACAGGUACAUGGAACACUGAGAAUCAGUUUGUUGAUUCAGUGAAUUAUGUGAAUUAUUCAUAUCCAAACAUUGCGGUCACCAUCGGAGGUGAGUUCGGUUCAGUGGGCUGGGUCGAUCUCUGGCGGGGCAUGCUUAUCUGUGACCUUCUCCGGGACAACCAUAGUCUUCGCUAUAUUCCAUUACCAUUGCCACUGGUGCCCAAGCUGCUCAAGGGUUAUCCGAUGUGUUUCCGGGACAUUGUUGUGGUUGGAGAUUGCAUCAAGUAUUUCGAGAUGAGUUACGACGUCAGACCAGGCUCUGGACUCACGUCUGCAACUCAAGAUUUGGUGGCUGCAACAAAGAAAAUGAAAAUUUCAGAUAUUGGUUCUGGGAACAACUGGGAAGAGGACUGCACUUUCAAAUUUUCUGACAUCCCAGUGGACAGCCCCAAGUUUGCUCGAAUGCUGAUGCUGCCUAAUCUGAAACAGGUUAAAAAUACAAAGCUAACCUUGAUGAGAGACUGUGCGGGUUACCCUGCUCUGAGCUUGCAUGAUGCUGAUGUUGUUUACAUCAUGCACACACCUGAUCGCGAUGAGGACAAGGCAUUGGUGAUUGCACUUGAUAUGAGAAAAAAGACUCUAAAAGAUGUGGCUGAUUUUGGCUCUGGAAGGCCUCUGGGUUACACUUUCACCUACCUUCAAAGUGGGAUCUCCAAGCAUCUGAACAUUUGGUCCUCCUCCAGGUAAUUUUGCUUGCAUUCUCUGUUUUGGACCAACAUGGUACAUAUAAACUAAAACUAAAAUAUUCCAGCAGCACGAGUAGGUGCUUUCAUUCUGAAGCUGCGGUAUCCAUUUGUUAUCUGGCAGGAGCAUUUGUUUUAAUUAUGUUAUACUACUAACAUCAUGGUAUACUGUGUAAUAACGCUCAUUUUGCUUCCGGUCUUCAUUAUUAGUCAUUAUUUAUUCAUAGCAGUGCUCCUAGUCCUAGUGUUCUUUAGAUCUGUCUGGUGUAUUGUUAUUCAAUUAACUAUUUGUCUCUCGAUUGUUAAUAUUGUACCUGCAUCGAUAAAUCGUACUAUCUUUUACAUUUCCAUCCGCAAAAUUAGCACUUAUAGCUCCCCCGCCACUACAUCUACAUUCUGGAGCUUCUUUUUGAUGAAGUACAAGGGAUUGCUUCAUUUCAACAUUUAAAGAAGUCUGUCUCAACUGUACUGCAUUGUUCCCUAUCAUGUCUAGUAAAACCCUUCUCCCAGAAGUUUCUGCUUAUCGUGUGCUGUGCCUGAAAGAUCAUAUGGUUCAGCAGUUUGUCCAUGGGUACCAAAUAUCUAUUAUCCUAUAUCAUAGCCAGGAUUCAUCUUUCAUGUGUUCCACCUUGCAUGCCAUGUUGUGUAACUCGCCCUUAUUGGUCAUGGUUAAAAUGGUGCUAAAUGUGCAACACUAAAACAAUGCUUGCUUCUGGAAUGUGCACAUGCCUGCUACCAGGGGUGGAGCCAGAAUCAGCUCAAAGGGGGUGCUGAGACUCUAUAAUUGAACUAAGUUCAUGUUUUAUGUUCAAAGUUUUAAGAUAAAACAGUUAAUAUUAAAUGGACUAGCAUGUGCUGAGGGGGUGCUGCAGCACCCCCAGCACCCCGUGCAGCUCCACCCCUGCCUGCUACAUAUUUUUCCUUUUCGCUUAAGAUUUAUUAAUUUUUAUCAGAACCAAUAUGACUUCAAUUGAACACAUCACACCAUCUAAGGAGCCAAAUAAUCUUUGUAGUUAACUUCUUUGAGGGGAAAAUGUUAACACACCAUUGCUCAGUUGUCUCAUUUCCAUAAUUCAAGCACACGUUGCAUGUUGCCUCACCCUUGCUGAACAGAAUUUCUUGGUCAUUAUUGCCAAAAUGAUACAAAAAUUUGCACCAAUGAAGCAAUAUUUUCUUUCGGUACAUGAACAUGCUUGCUAUGUAAUCCUUGCUUUUGCUGUUUAGGUUUCUGUUAGUACAUAGACAUGUUUGCUAUAGAAUUCUUGCCUUUUCUUAUCAUCUAUAAUCAUUGUUUUCACACCAAGGGAUUUUUUUAACUAAGAUGCACUCUUGUACAUGAAACAGAUCUGGGAGGAAUGCGGGUGAAACAAGUAGGGAUGGAUGUUUGGGGCCAUGCAAGCUAGAAGUUCUAGGGGUGAACGCUGAACCGCAGCCAACCGCAACCUAAGUCUAAACUUGGAAGCAAAGCACAAAGGGUACUACUUAGCAUGGUGAUCGCUAAAUUGGUGUGCAAGUUGAAACAAAGCCCUUCACACCUCACCCGUGGUGUGAUGUCUAUGAGGUGUUGCAUUAUUGAUGGACCUGUAUUACAUUAGCUUGCAUCGUGUCAACUAUGUUUGCGGACUAUAUUUGUU